AUCGCUUCUUGGCCUUUUGGCUAAGAUCAAGUGUAGUAUCUGUUCUUAUCAGACUCACGGGCAGAAAAGUUUUCAAGUCACUCUACUAAUGCACUCUCAUCUUGGGGCCCAACUCUGUGUGUGUGAUUUUUACCAAACUCUGCUGUCUGGUUUCAAAGUUUCCCAUGUGCUUUGGUUCUGGCUAAUUUUG
Molecule: small nuclear RNA, 190 nt
Organism: Ochotona curzoniae (black-lipped pika)
Lineage: Eukaryota; Metazoa; Chordata; Mammalia; Lagomorpha; Ochotonidae
Product: U2 spliceosomal RNA
Exons: 1
Source: RefSeq, a predicted model, not a curated record